This 30-nucleotide non-coding RNA is filed under the name Rattus norvegicus (Norway rat). The record is from RNAcentral. Lineage: Eukaryota; Metazoa; Chordata; Mammalia; Rodentia; Muridae.
UCCCAGCAAGCUCUACAUUUGUGGUGGCCA